Molecule: long non-coding RNA, 737 nt
Organism: Perca fluviatilis (European perch)
Lineage: Eukaryota; Metazoa; Chordata; Actinopteri; Perciformes; Percidae
Exons: 4
Source: RefSeq, a predicted model, not a curated record
CUCACAGCCAGCCGACCCCAACCAUCACACAAGAUGGGCAUACAUUGACUCUGAUUUUCUUAAGGAGCUGGACAGGCCUGCCAAGAUUCUUCAAGCAUAUCCCUGCUUCAGAGAACUGGAUCAUGUAAGCAACUUUAAUUGCAUAUAUUGGAUAAUGGAUGAACUCCGGACUAUCCUCGAUCAGGAAAACUCUCACUACAUACCUGAAAUAAAGAACUGUUGGGAAACCUUUUAAUGAGAAGGCACAGUUUUAUGGAGUUUUUAAAAAAGUAAUGAGGCCUCCGUUGUCGGAUAAAGUAAAGCAAUCUGUUGCCGUGAUUAAGGCUUUGCCAGACCUGUUCCCAUCACCUGUGGCUCCACACAAGAAGUUAGGACAUGCAAGUGCAGCUAUGCUUCACAUCCUUAAGUCAGCAGAAGACCCCAACACCUUUCUUCAGGCAAGACCACUCUCCAGCCCUAUUGUGAUUGUCUGACUCCAUCCAUGACCGAGAUAUGCCUUCGUCAUAUAAAAAAGUUAUGGCUGAGUGGAAGAAGUUCAUUACUGAAUAGGCUUGGACAUUAAUAAUAUUAAUAACAUGUGUGUUUUGGAGGAGCUGUUGUUUUGGAGGAGCUGUUGUUUUUUCAGCCUCUUGGAAAGUCAGGCACGUUGUUCUGUCAGAUGCUUAUAGUUUAAUUUUGCCCAUUCAGCUUUUCAGCCUUGACUUGACUUCAUGUAUGCUCUGCUGACAUGCACCUAA